GCACCUGCAAAAUCAGGUGUCAGGAUUGGAACCCUGGAAACGUUACAGGCGACAUAUGACGCGCUAGCGUCAUUUUU
RNAcentral lists this small RNA (77 nucleotides) under [Enterobacter] lignolyticus SCF1. Its description in RNAcentral is "Enterobacter cloacae SCF1 isrK Hfq binding RNA". It matches the Rfam family "isrK Hfq binding RNA". Lineage: Bacteria; Pseudomonadati; Pseudomonadota; Gammaproteobacteria; Enterobacterales; Enterobacteriaceae. The record is from Rfam by way of RNAcentral.